AUACGGAGGGUGCAAGCGUUAAUCGGAAUUACUGGGCGUAAAGCGCACGCAGGCGGUCUGUCAAGUCGGAUGUGAAAUCCCCGGGCUUAACCUGGGAACUGCAUUCGAAACUGGCAGGCUAGAGUCUUGUAGAGGGGGGUAGAAUUCCAGGUGUAGCGGUGAAAUGCGUAGAGAUCUGGAGGAAUACCGGUGGCGAAGGCGGCCCCCUGGACAAAGACUGACGCUCAGGUGCGAAAGCGUGGGGAGCAAACAGGAUUAGAUACCCUGGUAGUCCACGCCGUAAACGAUGUCGAUUUGGAGGUUGUGCCCUUGAGGCGUGGCUUCCGGAGCUAACGCGUUAAAUCGACCGCCUGGGGAGUACGGCCGCAAGGUUAAA
RNAcentral lists this ribosomal RNA (376 nucleotides) under uncultured Klebsiella sp. RNAcentral's name for it is "bacterial SSU rRNA". It matches the Rfam family "Bacterial small subunit ribosomal RNA", at positions 523 to 898 of the family's 1533-position model. Lineage: Bacteria; Pseudomonadati; Pseudomonadota; Gammaproteobacteria; Enterobacterales; Enterobacteriaceae. The record is from RNAcentral.